GGCUAUAUCACACCGGUUCCCGUACGAUCACCGAAGUUAAGAAACGUCGAGUCUGGUCAGUACCUAGAUGGGUGACUAUUUGGGAAUACCAUGUGCUGUAAG
Molecule: non-coding RNA, 102 nt
Organism: Acanthosepion pharaonis
Lineage: Eukaryota; Metazoa; Mollusca; Cephalopoda; Sepiida; Sepiidae
Source: the annotation of a GenBank genome assembly